RNAcentral lists this ribosomal RNA (492 nucleotides) under uncultured bacterium. RNAcentral's name for it is "partial 16S ribosomal RNA". It matches the Rfam family "Bacterial small subunit ribosomal RNA", at positions 29 to 507 of the family's 1533-position model. The record is from RNAcentral.
AUUGAACGCUGGCGGCAUGCUUUACACAUGCAAGUCGAACGGUAACAGGCCUUCGGGUGCUGACGAGUGGCGCACGGGUGAGUAAUGCAUCGGAACGUACCCAGAGGUGGGGGAUAACGCAGCGAAAGCUGUGCUAAUACCGCAUGUGAUCUGAGGAUGAAAGCGGGGGACCGAGCAGCAAUGUUUGGCCUCGCGCCUUUGGAGCGGCCGAUGUCGGAUUAGCUAGUUGGUGGGGUAACGGCCUACCAAGGCGACGAUCCGUAGCUGGUCUGAGAGGACGACCAGCCACACUGGGACUGAGACACGGCCCAGACUCCUACGGGAGGCAGCAGUGGGGAAUUUUGGACAAUGGGCGCGAGCCUGAUCCAGCAAUGCCGCGUGCGGGAAGAAGGCCUUCGGGUUGUAAACCGCUUUUGGCAGGAACGAAACGGUGUCCGCUAAUACCGGGCGCUAAUGACGGUACCUGCAGAAUAAGCACCGGCUAACUACGUG